GUGGCAGCGGGCGCGCCUGUAGGGGCAGCUGCGGCGGCGGCCCGGGCCUGAGGAGGCGUUGUCGCCCCAGGCUUAACCCGGGGACCGCCAAGGGGCAGGUGAGCUCCCGGCAGUUCUGUCACCGCCGCCAACGGGGACCGGAUGUGACCUUCUCCUGCCUGGGAAGUCUCCAGUGCUCAGGUUUUCAGUGUGCCCCUGAGGUGGCAGUUUAUAUAAAGGAAGCACUGGGACUUGUGGCCACACCCUUCAAG
RNAcentral lists this long non-coding RNA (251 nucleotides) under Cervus hanglu yarkandensis (Yarkand deer). RNAcentral describes it as "lncRNA (ENSCHYG00000001087.1)". Lineage: Eukaryota; Metazoa; Chordata; Mammalia; Artiodactyla; Cervidae. The record is from RNAcentral.